This 451-nucleotide ribosomal RNA is filed under the name uncultured bacterium. RNAcentral describes it as "partial 16S ribosomal RNA". It matches the Rfam family "Bacterial small subunit ribosomal RNA", at positions 29 to 523 of the family's 1533-position model. The record is from RNAcentral.
AACGAACGCUGGCGGCAGGCCUAACACAUGCGAGUCGAACGGACGUAGCAAUACGUUAGUGGCUCACGGGAGAGUAACGCGUGGGAACCUACCUUUUGGUUCGGGAUAACAUCGGGAGACUGGUGCUAAUACCGGAUAAGCCCUUCGGGGGAAAGAUUUAUUGCCGAAAGAUGGGCCCGCGUUGGAUUAGCUAGUUGGUGAGGUAAUGGCUCACCAAGGCAACGAUCCAUAGCUGGUCUGAGAGGAUGAUCAGCCUCACUGGGACUGAGACACGGCCCAGACUCCUACGGGAGGCAGCAGUGGGGAAUAUUGGACAAUGGGGGAAACCCUGAUCCAGCCAUGCCGCGUGAAUGAUGAAGGCCUUCGGGUUGUAAAGUUCUUUUGGUGGGGACGAUGAUGACGGUACCCACAGAAUAAGCUCCGGCUAACUUCGUGCCAGCCGCCGCCGUAA